CCUGGGGAGUACGGCCGCAAGGUUAAAACUCAAAUGAAUUGACGGGGGCCCGCACAAGCGGUGGAGCAUGUGGUUUAAUUCGAUGCAACGCGAAGAACCUUACCUGGUCUUGACAUCCACAGAACUUUCCAGAGAUGGAUUGGUGCCUUCGGGAACUGUGAGACAGGUGCUGCAUGGCUGUCGUCAGCUCGUGUUGUGAAAUGUUGGGUUAAGUCCCGCAACGAGCGCAACCCUUAUCCUUUGUUGCCAGCGGUUAGGCCGGGAACUCAAAGGAGACUGCCAGUGAUAAACUGGAGGAAGGUGGGGAUGACGUCAAGUCAUCAUGGCCCUUACGACCAGGGCUACACACGUGCUACAAUGGCAUAUACAAAGAGAAGCGACCUCGCGAGAGCAAGCGGACCUCAUAAAGUAUGUCGUAGUCCGGAUUGGAGUCUGCAACUCGACUCCAUGAAGUCGGAAUCGCUAGUAAUCGUAGAUCAGAAUGCUACGGUGAAUACGUUCCCGGGCCUUGUACACACCGCCCGUCACACCAUGGGAGUGGGUUGCAAAAGAAGUAGGUAGCUUAACCUUCGGGAGGGCGCUUACCACUUUGUGAUUCAUGACUGGGGUGAAGUCGUAACAAGGUAACCGUAGGGGAACCUGCGGUUGGAUCACCUCCUUACCUUAAAGA
This 670-nucleotide ribosomal RNA is filed under the name Klebsiella pneumoniae. Its description in RNAcentral is "bacterial SSU rRNA". It matches the Rfam family "Bacterial small subunit ribosomal RNA", at positions 872 to 1533 of the family's 1533-position model. Lineage: Bacteria; Pseudomonadati; Pseudomonadota; Gammaproteobacteria; Enterobacterales; Enterobacteriaceae. The record is from RNAcentral.